This 615-nucleotide ribosomal RNA is filed under the name uncultured Actinomycetes bacterium. RNAcentral's name for it is "bacterial SSU rRNA". It matches the Rfam family "Bacterial small subunit ribosomal RNA", at positions 91 to 722 of the family's 1533-position model. Lineage: Bacteria; Bacillati; Actinomycetota; Actinomycetes. The record is from RNAcentral.
UCGAGUGGCGAACGGGUGAGUAACACGUGGGUGAUCUGCCCUGUACUUUGGGAUAAGCCUGGGAAACUGGGUCUAAUACCGAAUAUGACCACUUCUUGGAUGGGGUGGUGGAAAGCUUUUGCGGUAUGGGAUGAGCUCGCGGCCUAUCAGCUUGUUGGUGGGGUAAUGGCCUACCAAGGCGUCGACGGGUAGCCGGCCUGAGAGGGUGUACGGCCACAUUGGGACUGAGAUACGGCCCAGACUCCUACGGGAGGCAGCAGUGGGGAAUAUUGCACAAUGGGCGCAAGCCUGAUGCAGCGACGCCGCGUGGGGGAUGACGGCCUUCGGGUUGUAAACUCCUUUCGCAACCGACGAAGCUUUUGUGACGGUAGGUUGAGAAGAAGCACCGGCUAACUACGUGCCAGCAGCCGCGGUAAUACGUAGGGUGCGAGCGUUGUCCGGAAUUACUGGGCGUAAAGAGCUCGUAGGUGGUUUGUCGCGUCGUUUGUGGAUACCGCAGCUUAACUGCGGGGUUGCAGGCGAUACGGGCAUAACUUGAGUGCUGUAGGGGAGACUGGAAUUCCUGGUGUAGCGGUGGAAUGCGCAGAUAUCAGGAGGAACACCGAUGGCGAAGGC